Long non-coding RNA from Neofelis nebulosa (Clouded leopard), 1641 nucleotides. RefSeq lists it as uncharacterized. The record is from RefSeq and is a predicted model, not a curated record. The transcript has 3 exons. NCBI's taxonomy places the organism in Eukaryota, Metazoa, Chordata, Mammalia, Carnivora, Felidae.
GCUGAGCCCGCAAAUUCCUGUUCGCUUAGCUUGUUUGUUGUUACUUUCAGGUGAAAGUUUCCUCGCUGGGGCCGGGCAUUUCUGGAGGACAGCAUUGGGUGGAGCUGGAAAAGGAACGGCCUGCGGGUGCCUGGACCUGGAUGGGGCGGGGUUGGCCAAAUCCUUUCCUUUGGAUUCCACCUCCAGCUAGACCCCGUGGAGCCUGGUUUUCCCAUCUCUGCCCCUCUGCUGAGCCAUUCUAGAGCCCCUACCCAUGGAAGGGCAUGGAGACGACAGGGUGUUUGAGGCCAGAUGUGAGUGGCAGGCAGACGCAGAGUCUUCGAAGGGGCAGGGGCGGAGGAGGUGAAACUCACAGCCCCACCUCGAAGCUUCACUGGCGGAGCCGGGAGUUCAAGUGCAUCACAGACCUUAUCUUGUCCCUCCUCACACCAGCUCCCAAAGGCGAGGAUUGCCCUCACUAUCGUGCAGAUGAGGGAACUGAGGCCCGUGACACUUGUGCGACAUGCCUGAGGCCACCCAGCUGAUUCCCUGUCUGAGCUGGGGUGCUUGGCUCAGGCCAGGCUCUCUGCCAGGUGUGGCUUGUGUGUGUUAACUCAGUCCACACAACCACCUAAUCCGGGAGGGACUGUCAUGAUCCCCAUGGUACCGAUGAGCAAACACCAGCACAGAGAGGUUCAGCGACUGCCCCAAGGUCUCAGAGCUUGUCAGUGACAGAGCCGAGUAUCAACCCCGGGGCCACCCGAUGUCAGAGCCGAUGCUUCAGCCAAGGGGCAGCAAAGCUGCCUCAGAAGCUGGUAAAUGAUGGGGCAGGGCUCGAACCGCUGGCAGCCUGACUCCAGAGCUCCCACCCUCUCUACCACCAGACGCAAGGGACUGAGGAGAGAGGCCCAAGCCUGGGCCCCAGCCAGAGCCGGACAUGCUGUGGCAGGCAUCCAACUUCCAGCCCGGCCAGUGCUUUGGAGAAGGGCCAGAGGCAGGGGAAGGCCCCCAGUCAAGGCCUUCCCAGAGCUGGUCCUCAGGCAGCCCCGGGGCUGGGACCAGCCUGAACCUGCUGAGGGGAGGACGACAGUCAAGUCUCCCCAACCCGUCCCAGAACAAGGAAUCAGACUCUCCUGCGGUGGGGCUCAGAGACCUGCGGUUCUAAGAGCCUCACACGUGAUUUUGAAGCAGCCUUCAGACCCCAGCUACCACCUGGGACCCGUGGCCAGAGUCCAGCUUAGAAAGUCCGGGGUAUCAGACCCUAUAGAGAAAAGUGACAACAACAGCCACAUGUUGUAUGUGCCAGGAACAUAGCCUGUUGUCCCGUAAGCCUCAUCUCCUCACAGUGACCCAUGAAUGAAGGGGACUCUUGCCAACCCUUUUUUCAGAUGAGGGAACUGACCAUCAGAGAAGGAAGAACCUGCCCGGGUCAACCAACCGGUGAGGGAGAACUGGGACUCACACUAAGCCUGGUCUUAGGCCUCCCUCCCUUCGUCCCUCCCUCCCUCCUCCCCUCUCUGCAGGAGGGCCUGGGGUGGCACUGAGAGCGGGGGGGGGGGGGGGGCUCCCACCCAGAGAACUCAGGAAGCAGCUUUUGCCCCUCCUUCUCCAUCCAGCUGAGGCCAAGCCCCCCUCUCCCACGGUGAGAUCAUCUCUGCUUCA